CGCCUUGAAGCGCAGGUGGAAGGGGAGCGGGGGUAGAUGGGGAUGAGGUGGGAUGGAGUGGGAGGUGAAGGAAGGUGUUCUUACCGGUGUCCAGUCUCAGGCACGUUGAUGUCGUCCUGGAUGGUCUCCUUUUUCUUCUCUUCUCUCUCCUAUUUCUUUGUCUCCUUGUCCUGCAUCUUGCGCCUCAUUUUGUCCAUCUCCGUCUGCCGGUCUUGCAUACGUCUCCCAAAGAUGCCUCUUUUCUUUUUUUUUAAGUCGAGGCAGAUGUUUUCAAGGACUGUUUUGUCGUCCUCUAAUUCUUGGAUCCUGGUGAUAAGGAUCUGAUGUUCUUUGGAGAUGGUAUUCUCCAUUUGUUGGAUUGUAGAGAUCAGGCACAACUCAGUGAAACCACUGCUUGUGACCAUCUCGUGGUGGGUCUCCUCUUGGCUCUUUUUUAAAGCAGCCAGAGAAUCCCUCUGGGUCUUCAGCAGUUUGUGUUCUGCUUCCAACUGCUGCCAGGUCUCAUUGUUGACCGUGAGUUCAGCACUUUUGACAGAAAGUUGUUUUGUGGUCUCGGUGAGCUUCAGAGAUAAACCCUCGUUCUCCCUGAUGGUCUCAUCCAGAGCUUCUGUCUUGAUCUUUAGCAGUUUGUGUUCUGCUUCCAACUGUUGGUUGUUGGCCUCCUGCUUGUGCAGCUUCUCUUGAAGAGAAAUGUUGGUGGAGCGUAACCCUGUUACUUGAGACUCCAAGGACUGUUGUUGGUCAUCCAGUUCCUUGGUUGUCCUUUUCUCCAGAUCUUCAUAUUUCUGCUGCCAGGUCUCGUUGUUGCCCGUGAGUUCAGCACUUUUGACAGAAAGUUGUUUUGUGGUCUCGGUGAGCUUCAGAGAUAAACCCUCGUUCUCCCUGAUAGUCUCAUCCAGAGCCUCUGUCUUGAUCUUUAGCAGUUUGUGUUCUGCUUCCAACUGUUGGUUGUUGGCCUCCUGCUUGUGCAGCUUCUCUUGAAGAGAAAUGUUGGUGGAGAGUAACCCUGUUACUUGAGACUCCAAGGACUGUUGUUGGUCAUCCAGUUCCUUGGUUGUCCUUUUCUCCAGAUCUUCAUAUUUCUGCUGCCAGGUCUCGUUCUUGACCAUGAGUUCAGCAUUUUUGACAACGAGUUUUUCGGUCUCUCUGACCUUCAGAGAUAAAACAUUGUUCUCCCUGAUAAGGUCUGAAAACCUCUUUCUGUUCUUGUCAACCAUCUGCUCAUAGGCAAGAUCUUUUCCUUUUAACAUGUUGGUCGAUUUGAACUUCAGAGUUUCAGUGUGAGCGGUGAGUUCGCUCACUUGCCUUUUCAGGUAGUGCACUUCGUUCUGUGCACGAGAAAGGGCCAUGUUCACAUUGUAUCCGGUGGGAGGAGUCCCGAGAAGUGAAGCGCCAGCUCCAAUUCUCUGGUUGUUUCUACGGUACAUGUUAAAUGACACUUGUGUAGUCUUGAAAAAGACUGUUGGUCAGCCCUGAAAAGGGGUGUAGUCUUGAAAAAGACUGUUGGUCAGCCCUGAAAAGGGGUCUAGUCUUAAAAAAGACUGGUGUUUUAUUUGUCGCUAAAUGACUCAAUGUAACCUCUGAAAAAUGGUGAUGAAUCUUCCAAAGAACUACUUAAGUCUGUAAAGGACAAAUAUCGCAGAUACUUUCGAGAGAAAAUAUCCAACUGCACUCUUCUGGAACCAGAAACGCAAUGAUCUAGUGCAUCUAGAUACAUCAAAGGAUUUGUUGAUGAUGUCACAAUUCCGUUGUCAUGGAAAUGCAGCCCGUGUCAUAGAGUGGACUCCAUGACAACGGAAUG
Molecule: long non-coding RNA, 1801 nt
Organism: Gasterosteus aculeatus aculeatus (three-spined stickleback)
Lineage: Eukaryota; Metazoa; Chordata; Actinopteri; Perciformes; Gasterosteidae
Source: Ensembl